RNAcentral lists this long non-coding RNA (566 nucleotides) under Struthio camelus australis. RNAcentral's name for it is "lncRNA (ENSSCUG00000000258.1)". Lineage: Eukaryota; Metazoa; Chordata; Aves; Struthioniformes; Struthionidae. The record is from RNAcentral.
UUCUGUUGUACUCAAAAUUAAUUACAUUUGUUUUAUCACCUGUGUUCUUUUUCUCUACCAGCACCAUACCAUCUAGAAGCAGAGAUCUACUUAAAAAAAUCAUCCUGAAAUAAGAAUGCUCAGAUGAUCAGAGAAGUGGAAGUGGAUAAAGUGACUUUGCUGGAAAGAAAACAAGUUGAUGCAAUCAAGAAGCUCUGGGAAGACCCAGGAAUUCAAGAGUGCUAUAAUAAGUUAUUUGAUAUGGAAGAAGAUUGCGGAAAAGAACAGAAGGCCAUAAAUGAACAACAUAUGGAAAAUCCCAUUGGUCAUCUGCACAUAAUAAAGAUGUCAACGUGUCCCUUACUGGGACAAUAUUGAUGGCAAGUGAGUAGUUAGUUGACUUCACCGACUGGCAUUUCCUCUGCAAUAAGCUGUCAAAAUUUUUCAUAAUUUCAUCAAAUGUAAUUCCUUCACAUAUAUCAUAUUCUCCAUCCACUCCAUUUUCAUUGGCUAGGGGUUGCAAACUCAGUAUGGAUCUGUAAAUGAAAAAAAAUUUAAACACUUAAUAAAAGAUUGAUUUUUUUUCA